Long non-coding RNA from Saccostrea cuccullata (small rock oyster), 2045 nucleotides. RefSeq lists it as uncharacterized. Lineage: Eukaryota; Metazoa; Mollusca; Bivalvia; Ostreida; Ostreidae. The record is from RefSeq and is a predicted model, not a curated record. The transcript has 7 exons.
AUUGACAAAAAAAUUAUGACAAAUUUGCUUUAAAAAAUUGUAAGUAGUUCAACUUUAUAGACAAGAAUUUCCUCUGCAUUUCACAACAUGUGCUAAUAUGUUCGACCAUACUAUUUUUGUAACGAAUUGGUGAUUUUUUUUUUUUUUUUAAAUUGUGUGCAUGUAUUCUUAAGUAAUUAUAAUGAAUAGUGAGUCAGUUGCAAAUUUGAUCGCUAAAAUACCGUGAAAUUUUAGUGCUUUGCGUAAACUCUGCAACACAGUAAAAUUUCAAACAAUGGAGAACCCUGAACAAGUAACAAGCUACUAAAACUACUAACGUCUGCUAAAUGUUGUGUGACGCGUCUAGUGUGUUGGUGUUAGUGUCUGUGUGCUUGUCACCUCUCGCUUUCAGCCAUCACCGCUGGCUAGCAGCAAUGCGAAAAGGGGGAAGAAAUUCUAAUGACUUCCCCUGCCAGUACAUAGCCUCUCCACAACAAGUCCUAUGCGAUGCCUCCACGUGGAAGCAGACGGAUACUGGGUAUCAUUUUGUCCCAGGCUAAGUUCGCAAGGACGCACGGGAAGAUGAGUCUCAAAAGCAUUGAGGAAUACUUUUAAGGCUGAACAGGAUCCUGAAGUGAGGAGGACUCCCUCUCUCAUUGAACUGCAUACAGCAGCAGAAAGCAGGAUUUCAGUUCCCCUUUGAUUCAGAAGAGGAACAACAAUGGAGGACCAAGGUCAUUAAUAUAAGAAGAGUCUAUUCCUGUCUGUGUUUUGCAGCAGAAGAAAGUUAAGACUGACUAGGAAUUCUAAGUGAGGAAGAGUCCCUUUCCCAUUCCGCUGCAGCCAUGAGGAGAAUACUCUAUUUUCAAGGAAUUUGACAAGGGAAGAGGACCAGUGCUGACCAAGUGAAGAAAAAGAAGAGUCUAUUGCCAAGCUUUGUACAGCAGCCAAUAUCUGAUUAAGGAGUGGGCAGACGGUUAUGCUGGCAUUGAUCCUGUUUCCAAAAGCAGAUCAACAUGAUUCCUCAAGACUCCAAAGAGAUCAACUAUGGGACCUGAAAAUAAAGGCAGACUGCCAUCAAUUUCAUGUUUCUUUGAUAGCAGACAAAUAUGCUUCAACAAUAGUGCAGAGAGUAAUUUAAGGUUUGGACUGCAAGUGAUGGACACACUAAAUAACUCAACUCAAAGAAUUCAAUGGAUAGUGCUGAGUACAUUAUUAUAUAUCUACAAAGUGAUGGGCACACUAAAUAGCUUAACUGACAGAAUUCAAUGGACCGUGCUGAGAACAUUGUUAUAUAUCUACAAAGUGAUGGACACACUAAAUAGCUUAACUGACAAAAUUCAAUGGACCGUGCUGAGUACAUUGUUAUCUACAAAGUGAUGGACACACUAAAUAGCUUAACUCACAGAAUCCAAUGGACAGAGUUGAGUAUGUACUAAUAUCUACAAAGUGAUGGACACAGUAAACAGCUUAAUUCUCAGGAUUCAGUGUACCAUGCUGAGUACAUAACUCAUUAAGGAUAACUCAUAUGACAUCCACAGCAGAUCACUCAAAGUUGUGUUACUACAUUAUUGUACAACUUUUCAUAUACUACGUUAUUUUUUCUGAAUGUUUUUUUUUGUAUCUGUAUAUUAUAUUUUUUAAUUUAAAAAAGUUAAAGAUUGGAUUUUUAAGCAAAAAUAUCAAGAGAGGUAAAUCAGUGCUUGUCUGAAUAUCUAAGCUUAAGAGAAAGGGAGGUAAUUUUUUUUAUUGUGAAUCCUUGUCCAGAGCAUAUGCUUUCUCCCCUUGGUCCAAUGUGGCUAAUACUUCUCUCACAGAGUGCCACUGGUCAAUGGAUGUGUAGUGACCUUGAACAAAGUUUCUAGGCCAAGAGUCAAGGUUAAAACCCCUUUCAGCUACUUUACAUUUUUAUGUUCAUUGCUGAAAGUGGGACCCUUUGAGAUGGCCACCAUCUCAAUGAUAUCUAAUUUUAGUUUGAAAAUUGCUAGAAAAGAUAAAGUGAUCUCAUUGUAACAUUAUUAUUUUUUAGUGUUUUAGAUUAUAAAUAAAUAUAACAAUAUGCAAAA